Molecule: long non-coding RNA, 3464 nt
Filed under: Solanum melongena (eggplant)
Lineage: Eukaryota; Viridiplantae; Streptophyta; Magnoliopsida; Solanales; Solanaceae
Description: long non-coding RNA (SMEL_LNC000128)
Source: RNAcentral
AAGAACUUUCUUGACAAUCUCAUCACUAAGAGCAGCAAUCUGAGAAUCAAGACUCUUAAUUGUCUCCUCUUUUUGAUUCUCUAAACUAGCCAAAGCUUCUAGCAAUUCAGCCUCAACUUUCUUCCUUCCUUCUGCAAUCUUCUGUUCCACUUCUUGCUGAGUCUCUUUCUUCAUCUUGUUCAAUGCUGCUGAUAUCUCAGCCCUUGCAGCCUUCAUAAUUGCAGCAGCUUGGUCUUCCAGUUGCUUCACUUCAGUAGAUGUGUCCUUAACACUGCUAAGUUUCUCCUUAAUAGCAGAAUCUCUUUCAUCCAUGAAUUUCCCUAAUGGGCUGAAGUAAAUCUUGUCUAAAGCAAACAUGAGAAACAGGAAUUCAGCCAUCAUGAUGGGGAGUGUCAAGUUGAAGUCAAAAAGGGAAGCUUUUUCAAUUUCCUCUGCCAGUGAAGGUGGUGCCAUGGCCAAUGAGCUUGCAAGAAUGACUGAAAUGGACUUGAGAGUUGAUGGGAUUGAGAGGGUUUCAAGGGAUUUGGGUGAUCUGGGGAGGGGUAGUUUUGGAAAAGGGAUUUGGGUGAGGGAAAGUUUGAAUCUUGGAGAUGAAGGGAUGGUGGAGGAUGAAGAAGUGAUUAAGGCUUUGGAGGAGCUCAUAAUCAUGUUGGCCAUGGCUUCUUAGAACUUGGGAUUUUUUUUAGAGGAUUUGAUUCUUGAUUUUAUUUUUCUUGGUGGUUUUAGAAGGGAAGAAGGAAAAUCUUAGAAAGGCUAUCUCAAUCUAUGCCACACAUAUUGAUGAGGCUGAGAUGGAUGUGCAACUAACUGGUCCUUUUCUUUUUUCUGAGAGUUUUUCUUUUAGUAUUUCUAUAUAACCAAAGGCAUUGGCAUUUGAUAUGCACAAAAGGUAAUUGGCUGGUAAGUAGCCUUUUGGUUUUAUUCACUAAGGAGUAACUGAAAGUUUGUGACCUGGAUUUAAGUCACUUUUUAUGCCAACAGUGUAGUUUAACCUUGGAUGAUAGGUUAGUUAAUGUUUUUAUGUGAUUAUCAACUAAUGCUUAUCGUAUAUGAGCAUUUUUUUUACACCGUCAGGGCAUAAGAAGUUAAACUUUUUCUUAAUAACCAUGGAGAUCCCAAACCAGAUUGCAGAAGUUCCAAGUGUGAUAAUAGAUGGAUUUGCUCUUUCCAAUGAGGCAAUGACCAAGAGAUAUUAGUGCAUUUGUGUUCUUAGGCAAAAUGAUGAAAAUCAAGAUUUGAUUACACACAACCUAGAAAAUAGUGUACAUGGAGAGGGAAUUGGGGGGGGGGGUGCUCUUUUACACAAUCCCAAGAGUUUUUUUUAUGCCAAACCCCAUGUAAAAUCAUGUUGCACAACUAAUUGACUGUCAUCUGCAAAUGAGGAAAUGGAAAAGAUGAUACAAAUUACUAAUUUUCUAUCAACUAGAGGUGAAUGCUUUCCAUUCAUGUGAUCGCGAUGCACUGCUCUUCUGUUUUAUUCUGCUCUCUGGGUUUGCCAACUUGUAUGGGAACCACCCUCUUAACAAAUGAACCAACCUGGAUUCACAAAUAGCUACAACACACCUGUUGUCAUUAAAAUUAGUUUGAUGGUUCUUUAAUAAAUCAUCUUGAUGGUGAUUACCCUUCCGUUCACCUCUCUUUUGUCUGCUUCCACAGCCUUUGGGUCUGCAUAAAUGCAUUUACAAAGUGGAUAUUACCUAAACUGCUCUUACAAGUUACAGUGCGUCUAUGCAAGACAAAUUCAUACAUAUAGUCAAACAUUUCAUACAUAUAUGCAUUAAACUCUGCAACACUACGUCCAUUCUUCCAAUUCUUCUGCAUUAUGACACAAAUUAAAGUAAUACAGCCAGGUUUAUAUCAGUAUGAUGAUGAGCAGUAUUGGAAAAUAUCGGCAUAGAAACUAUAAAUGGAACAUAUAUAUGUCAAUGUUCAGCAUAGAAACUAUAAAUGGGAACACCUAGAUGAACAAGAUCCAACUUUUAUAACCAAAAGUCAAACAACUAAGGCCUAGUGUCUGCAUUAUAUGGAAGAAUCAAGCAUUGAUAGCAAAGCAAUAGGGUGAAGGGCAAUAUUAGAACAGAUGAACGGACAAUAAUGACGAAGCCAGUAAACAGAACUUACAUGCUUGGUUUCAUUUUCAUGAGGGUCCUCUCUCUGAUCACGUUUUGACCAGAUUGUAACUAAUGGAGACAUGCAUCAUAAAUGUGAGCUGCACAUGCAAAAACAUCAAGAAUUAACGAGCUAAGGAAAUGUUCAAACAGUUCCACUUGUGCUUCAUAGAGGAAAAUGUACAUAUCUCAUUAGGUUGGAAGAUAUCCAUAUAAAAUCUCCAAAAGAAAGUUCUUAAAACUUAUAUAAACAGAGUUCUCUGCUUUGGCCCUUAUCUUUACUUGUAAGUGAUAAUCUGUUGCCUUUUGGUUUGGUAGAAUCAUAUGAACCAGAAUUCUCUGGAGCCUUAGUAAUUGAACCUGCUUUUACAUGUCUCUCAUCAGACCAUAUGCACCGCUUUUUAGUUUCCAAUCAAAUACUCCUACAUCGAAACAAUAAAAAUGCAAAUCGGAACAAUAAGAGCCAAAAUUCUGACUUAUAAGCUCCAUCUGUACCAGUCCACACACAUUCAACUGCAAAAUGACAUAAUCCUGAUUCAUCUAAGAAAAAAAAGUUUCUUCAAAGCCUGGACAUAAGAUGGACUGGAACUAUUGGAAUGUGGUUUCUAAUCUAAUAAUCUCUUUUUACAGAUUGCAUAUUUCAGUGCAUUAGCAACAAGCAACAUCAGCAAACCAUAUAAAGAUUAGAUAAAAGAAAACUUUCCAAAACAAUACAAUGAAUUGAGAAGAAACCUUAUCACCAUCCUUGAUCCAAUAGGUUCCUAACAAAUUAAUAUCAGUAAGUAGCUUCUGCCCAUCACAGCCCAAGCAACAAUGUCCCCGUAUAUGUCACCUGCAAGAGCAUCACAACAACAACAAAGAAAAAAACCAACAUAACAACGUGAUCACACCAAAUCUCAUCAUAUAAAUGAGACUUUUCGUGGUUACAUAAUGGAUUUGAUGAUAUGAUAUAAUGAACAAUCAAAAUAAACAUUUGUAUUUAAACUAACAACACGGUACAAUAUUACAUGUAAGAAGCAUCCAUCCAAACAAGCUGUUAACUCUUACCAAUCCCAAGAAAAAGACAUUACAACUUUUCAGAAUUAGUUACUGACAGGAAGGACUUUCUUGACAAUCUCAUCACUAAGGGCAGCAAUCUGAGAAUCAAGACUCUUGAUUGUCUCCUCCUUUUGACUCUCUAAGCUAGCCAAAGCUUCUUGCAAUUCAGCCUCAACUUUCUUCCUUCCUUCUGCAAUCUUCUGCUCUACUUCUUGCUGAGUCUCUUUCUUCAUCUUGUUCAAUGCUGCUGAUAUCUCAGCCCUUGCAGCCUUCAUAAUUGCAGCAGCCUGGUCUUCCAGUUGCUUCACUUCAGCAGAG